UUAUAACCUGAGAUCAAGAAGGAUUACCCCCUGAAUUUAAGCAUAUUAAUAAGGGGAGGAAAAGAAAACAACAGUGAUUCCCUUAGUAGCGGCGAGCGAAGCGGGAAAAGCCCAUCCCCUGAAUCUGGCGUGCGUUCUGUGCGUCCGAGUUGUAGGGUAUAGACUUAGUCUCUGGUCCAUAGCAGUCUGCCUAGAAGUAAUUCUGGAAUGAAACGCCAUAGAGGGUGAAAGCCCCUUAUAGCGACUGUUGCGGUUCCAUUGAAGAUUAGGUCUGAGAGUAGCGUUGCUUGAGAGUGCAGCGUGAAUGCGGGAGGUAAACUUCUUCCAAGGCUAAAUACUGAUCAGACACCGAUAGCAAACAAGUAGCGUGAGCGAAAGAUGAAAAGGACUUUGAAGAGAGAGUCAAAAGAACCUGAAACCGUUAUGGGGGAACGCUAUUCUCCUGUCAGAGUAUAACAGGCAGCACUUCGGUGCUGACCAGUUUGAAGGCAACUCCACGUGGUUGGGGCUUGAUUCGUCGAGUCUCCGGCUGCGUGAGGAAUCACGUCGUGGCUUUGUGCUAGGAUGCUUGUGCGAAACUGGGAUUGGUCUAACUUGAUUUGACCCUUCUCGGCUAGCGCUUGAUAUUUCUGGUUACGGGUCGUGUACAAGGAGUUGUGUACGGGAAGAUAGCACCCGUCUUGAAACACGGACCAAGGAGUCGUACUCACUUGCGAGCGGUAGGGUGUAAAACCUGAUACGCGUAUUGAAAGAGAAUACCUAUGAUGAGGCCUUAAAACCUUUGCAAUAGGGCCCCCCUGUGAAACCUCGGUGGAUCGGUGGGCGGUAGAGUAAGUGGGUUCGGACCCGAAAGACGGUGAUCUAUGCCUGGGUAGGGUGAAGCCAUGGGAAACUAUGGUGGAAGCCCGAAGUGGUGCUGACGUGCAAAUCGCUCAUCUAACCUGGGUAUAGGGGCGAAAGACUCAUCGAACCGUCUAGUAGCUGGUUUCCUCCGAAAUUUCCCUCAGGAUAGCUGUGGCUCAUGUGAAGAGUUCCGUCGGGUAGAGCUAAUGAUUCGUGGGUGCGGGACCUCAAUGGUCUUGUCCAAGUCUCAAACUCCGAAUAGGCGGGAUUGGUGUCGUUGCUUAAUUGAACGUUCCAUUUGAAUCAGAGCCAUAUGUGGGCCUUCCUUGGUAAGCAGGGCAGGCAAUGCGGGAUGAACCGAACGCUGAGAUAAAGUGCGUAACUCUGGGCUCAUUAGACCCCACAAACGGUGUUGGUAAAUAUAGACAGCCGGAAGGUGACCCUGGUAGUAGGUAUCCUCUAAGGAGUGUGUAACAACUCACCGGCCAAAUUUACCAGCCCGGAAAAUGGAUCGCGCUAAAGCCCAGGACUUAUACUCAGCCACUGUAGCAUGAGGAGGUUCUUCGGAAUCUUCGAUCGAAGUUGCAGUGGGUAGGAGGACGUGGGGGUUGGGUAGAAGCAUACAGCGUGAGCUGAUGUGGACCGGCCUCUAGUGCAGAUCUUGGUACGAGUAGCAUUUAUUCAAGUGAAAACCUUGAAGACUGAUGUGGAGAAGGGUUCCAUGCCAACUGUGUUUGGACAUGGGUUACUCGGUCCUAAGAGAUAGGUGAAAAUCUUUCUGAAGUGAGCUGUUUUUCAGCUCCGCCUAUCGAAAGGGAAUCAGGUUAAUAUUCCUGAAGUACUUCAAACACCGAACAGGCGGUAACGCAAGCGAACUUGGUGACGCAAAGGGGAGGCACGGCAAGAAUCAUCUUUUGGUACUCUUGUCUUGUUAACGCUCUAAGCUCUGUGGAAUCACAUCAUGUGGAGAAGCAGAACAUUGAGCGGGAAGAGCAUAGAUAAUUGUCUGUGUCCGUUGUCCUCUCUAUUGCCCAUGAAAAGCCAAGGGUCGGAAGCAGUGUUUUGAUAGUAGCCGUACCGAUAACCGCAGCAGGUCUCCUAGGUUAACAGCCUCUAGUCACGCAGGAUAACGCAGCCAAGGGAAGUCGGCAAAUUAGCUCCGUAACCUUGGGAUAAGGAGUGGCUCUGACGAUGGUGAGAUUGCUUACCCUAUUCACAGAACGCUGUUCUUCUAUUGGACGGCGGAUGCGCUUCGAGUGUCUACUUCGGUAGGCCUUGAUUGUGUCUGCUAUCCUAUUGAGGGAUGGGUCUGCAAUGUGGUAGGAUCAUAAGUGUCUCCCUUGAAACGCUUCGGGCGUCAAGGCAUCCAUCAAGUCAGAACUGGAACGGACAAGGAGAACCCGACUGUUUAAUCGAAACACAGCAUUGCGAUGGCCUUAACCGGUGUUGACGCAAUGUGAAUUCUGCCCAGUGCUCUGAAUGUCAAAGCGAAGAGAUUCGAACAAGCCCGGGUAAACGGCAGGAGUAACUAUGACUCUUUUAAGGUAGCCAAAUGCCUCGUCCUCUAAUUAGGGACGUGCAUGAAUGGACUAACGAGGUUCUCACUGUCCCUGGCUGGGACCUGGUGAAAGUACAGCCCCGGGAACGGGCGGGGCAAAAUCAGCGGGGAAAGAAGACCCUGUUGAGCUUGACUCUAGUUUGAUUUUGUGGAGUGAUUUGAGGGGUGUAGGCUACUGAGGAGACUUCGGUCAAACGUGAAAUACUCAGACCUUCAACAUCGCUCUACUAACUCAGUUAGUUAGAACCCUUUGGCUAAAACCAGAGGUUUUCUUGAUUUAAACGUGGAUUUAGUUCCGCGUGAUCUAAUCUGAGGACAUGAUCAGAUGGGGAGUUUGGCUGGGGCGGCACACGUGCUAUAAGGUACCGCACGUGUCCUAAGGGGGGCUCAACGAGAACAGAAGUCUCGUGUAGAACAAAAGGGUAAAAGCCCCCUUGAUUUUGAUCUUCAGUAUGGAUACAAACCGUGAAAGCGUGGCCUAUCGAUCCUUUAUCUUUUAGAAGUUUUAAGCUAGAGGUGCCAGAAAAGUUACCAUAGGGAUAACUGGCUUGUGGCAGCCAAGCGUUCAUAGCGACGUUGCUUUUUGAUCCUUCGAUGUCGGCUCUUCCUACCGUCCAGAAGCAGAAUUCUGGAAGCGUUGGAUUGUUCACCCACUAACAGGGAUCGUGAGCUGGGUUUAGACCGUCGUGAGACAGGUUAGUUUUACCCUACUGAUAGGGUGGUGUGUUGAGAGUAGUGAUAGACAGUACGAGAGGAACCCUAUCACCAGAUCAAUGGUUUAUGCGGUUGUCCGAGCGGACAUCGCCGCGAAGCUAUAAUCUGAUUGUUUAAGACUGAACGCCUCUAAGUCUG
This 3253-nucleotide ribosomal RNA is filed under the name Kipferlia bialata. RNAcentral describes it as "eukaryotic LSU rRNA". It matches the Rfam family "Eukaryotic large subunit ribosomal RNA". Lineage: Eukaryota; Fornicata. The record is from RNAcentral.